Ictalurus punctatus (channel catfish) is the source of this 10143-nucleotide long non-coding RNA. NCBI's taxonomy places the organism in Eukaryota, Metazoa, Chordata, Actinopteri, Siluriformes, Ictaluridae. The record is from Ensembl.
CACCGCUGUGCCACAUGGGUCACCUUGCCCAGCUGGUACCGCAGGAGGACAACUGGGUCAGACAAGUAGGGCAGCCUGCAAGAGGUGUGCAGAGGGUCGGUACUGUCCCACAGGCUCCGCAGGUCCAGGUUUGCUCUGUGCCCGUGGGAGAUACUGCCCAGCAGGCACAGUCAUCGAAGUUACAUGUCCAAGAGGCACCUUCACCCCACAUCAAGGCGCUCUAAGUGUGAAGGACUGUCUGAAGUGUCCGGGAGGUUUCUACUGCCCAGAGGGAACAAGUGAUCCUUUGCCUUGUCAGCCUGGCACUUUUAACCCAUUGGAGGGGCAGGAUGCAUUGACAGACUGUAGGUUGUGUUACCCGGGCAAGGCCUGUACACAGGUAGCCCUGAAGGCUCCAGAUGUUGAAUGUAUGUCAGGCUUUGUAUGCCCACCUGGCUCAGCACGACCCAAUUACCCUGCCAACUCUUGCCCACCUGGAACCCUGAGCAACAGGACAGAUCUGACUGACCGCUCUCAGUGCCAGCUGUGUCCAGCACGCUAUGCCUGUCUGCGAGGCACUGGUGGCAUCCAGAGACCUCCACUCUCCUGCUUUGCUGGUCAUUACUGCCCGGUUGGCACCAUGUUCCCCACCCAACACAAGUGUCCAGCAGGCACCUGGAAUGAUCGCAGUGGGCUGGAGUCUGAGAGCGAGUGCCGGCCAUGCCCACGAGGCUGGUAUUGUCUGGCUGGUGUAGGCGUUCCUUCUGGAAGGUGCAGCUCGGGAUACUAUUGCCCAGAAGGAACAAUGUAUGGCACCCAGUUUCCUUGCCCUAGAGGCACAUACAGCAUAAAAAUGGGCAAUGGUGGAAAAGAGGAUUGUGUGGUAUGUCCUGAAGGGUAUUACUGCCAGGAGGGUUCGUCCAAACCCAUACCGUGCCCUCCAACAACAUUUCGGCAGUUUAAAGGAGGCCAAAGGCCCGAGGACUGUGCUGUGUGUCCAGCUGGCUACUUCUGUCCCCACUCAGCCACAGUCCACCCCAGAGUGUGUGGGACUGGCAGUUACUCUGAUGAGGGUUCAGAGGAGUGCUUUCCAUGUUUACCUGGUCACUACUGUAGUGAUGAGACCACCAGUGAGGAGGCCAUGCUCAGAGUGAUGGUGUGUCCACCUGGUUUCCUGUGCUCUAAAGGCUUGGAUCGGGAUCCCCAGCGCUCAGCCGUUCUUUGCCCUAUUGGCUUCUACUGCCCUGGGGGUGGUGUUAAUCCAAAUCCCAUACCAUGUCCCAAUGGCACCUACAGUCGGAAACCAGGACUGCGGGACCCUUCAGACUGCACCGUGUGUCCGGUGGGAAUGUACUGCUUCUCUCAGCAACCCCAGGAACAUCCAAUUACUGAACCAACUGGAGGCUGUCCUGAUGGAUAUUACUGCCCUUUGGGCACUGGACAUCCUCUUUCAUUCCCAUGUAAAUCAGGAUUCUUCAGGAAUGAAUCUCAUGGACAUGGUGGAGGUGCCUGUGUGAAAUGCCCAGCAAGAUAUUAUUGUAUGAGUGUUGCGACACACACACCAUCAGUCUGCCCAGAGGUAAAACAUUAAAAGCACAGUUUGAGUCAUGGCUUAAAAGUAUGAAAUGCAUUGGGAUGAAGAAACUUCUGACUCUGCUUUAUAUCAGGGCUUUUUCUGUCCUGAGGGGAGUUCUGCCCCAGAGCCAUGUGAGGAAGGCACUUAUAGCUCUCGGCCAGGUUUAUGUGAGGCAUCAGAGUGCACGCUUUGCGAUGGGGGCAAAUACUGCACUGGUGUUGGCAAGAUAAAACCUUCAGGAAACUGUGAGGGAGGAUUCUACUGUAGACAACAAUCUAUAAGUGCUACUCCUUUUGAUGGACUGACUGGAGGCCUAUGUCCAGCUGGCAGUUUCUGUUCUCCAGGCUCAGCUCACCCACAGCCCUGUCCUUCAGGCACAUUCAGCAACAGCACUGGCCUAAAACAUGUCCAGCAGUGUAUCAAAUGUCCUGCAGGUUAUUACUGUUUAGGUUUAGGCUCCAACUCUCCAACUGGCCUAUGUGCUGCGGGAUAUUACUGCAGUGGUGGUUCUGCAUCUCCUGUUCAGCAUCAAGUUGAAGAAGGCCAGUACUCUGUUGAGGGAGCUGUGAAGCCUGAGCCCUGCUCUUUGGGCACUUUUCAACCGGAAAGAGGACAAAGUGCAUGCGUUCAGUGCAAGCCAGGUAGAUUGUGUAACCUGACAGGCCUGUCCCAUCAGCCUCUUUGCCCUCCAGGACACUACUGUCCAGCUGGAACGUCAACUGCACAUCCAUGUCCCCCAGGAACCUACUUGGCUAAUCCAGGAGCAGAAAAAGUGCAGCACUGUGGUCCAUGUGAUGCUGGUCAGUACUGCCACGCUCCUGGUCUAUCAAGCCCUCAGGGUCCAUGUGAGCCUGGGUUCUACUGCAGCGGAGGAGCCAACACUGCCACUCCAGUGAACUUCAGGUCUGGAGAUGUUUGCCCUGCGGGAUAUUACUGCCCUAAAGGCACCAGACACCCACAUCAGUACCCGUGUCCCGCUGGAACAUGGAGUAGUGUGUUGGGAGCUCAGAACCUGUCCUCCUGCUCACCUUGUCCUGCAGGGUUUUUCUGUAACAAGACUGGACUCACUCAACCCACAGGAGUGUGUGCUGCAGGAUUUUUUUGUAUUAGUGGCGCUAAGUCUUCCUCGCCUGAAGACGGAGUUACUGGAAACAGAUGCCCAGCAGGAUAUUACUGCCCACAAGGGUGCACUUCACCUCAACACUGCCCUGAUGGGACAUACUCCAAUACUACAGGUGCUGCCGAGUGCAGUGACUGUCCUCCUGGAUGGCUCUGUCUGGAAGGCGAGGAGGCCCAGAUGUGUCCAGAAGGACAUUACUGCCUGGGGGGCACGCUGGAGGAUGUCCUCCCAUGCCCUCCAGGCACAUACAACCCCAAAGCAGGACAGAGACAAGUAGAGCAGUGUUCACUGUGCUCAGCUGGAAUGUACUGUGAGGAAUGGGGACUAGUGGAACCAACUGGUCCCUGCCAGUCAGGGUAUUUUUGUCUAGCAGGCAUAAAUUUUAGGAACCCUGAUGGGAACUUUAGCACAGGGGUAGGGGGAGGAUGUCCUCCAGGCCAUUACUGUCCUGAAGGCACUAGCCAACCUCUUCCCUGCCCACUCGGAACCUUUUCAAGCAGCCUUUAUAUCACAGAGAGCUCAGGCUGCAGUUUGUGUCCACCGGGGCAGUUCUGUGGAUCUGUUGGCCUAAGCAGGCCGUCUGGACCAUGCCAUGAGGGAUUCUAUUGUCCUGGUGGUGCCAUUUCCGCCACAGGUGCUGGCACAGAGGGUGGGCUGUGUCCCCAAGCACACUACUGCCCACUAGGCAGUGUCAUGCCUUUUUCCUGUCCAGCCGGUACCUACACAAAUCUUACCGGCCAAAUAAAAUGUAGCCUCUGCCAUGCUGGAUACUACUGCCCAGAGAGCACCAGCAACUAUACAAAGUUUCCAUGCCCUCCUGGAUUCUACUGCCCUGAUGGUACAAGACAUGCCACACAGUUCCCAUGUCCAAGAGGCUACUAUAACCCUGAGCCUAUGACCCAAAGCCUGGACAGCUGCCUUCCAUGCCUGCCAGGCCACUACUGUGAGAAGGAAAGACUGACAGCCGUGUCUGGGAAAUGCAAAGCUGGCUGGUUUUGUGUCUCUGCAGCCUGGAACCCUCAACCGUUCGAUCUGGACAACUACACAAGUGCUAAUUGUCUGUGUCCAGCCUCCUCCACUGGAGGACGAUGUCAGGCAGGGUUCUUCUGCCCAGCAGGCAGCUCUGAACCUAUACCUUGCCUUCCUGGAGCCUUCUGCAAUGCCAUAGGUCUGGCUUUGCCAAGUGGUCCCUGUGCUGCAGGUUAUUACUGCACUGGGGAAGCAACUCAGUCUAAACCAACAGAUGGCAUCACUGGUGAUAUUUGUCCUCCUGGCUCCUAUUGUGCUGAAGGCUCUAGCGAGCCGGAGCCAUGUCCAGUGGGAACAUUCUCUGCAGUAGCAGGUCUGAGGCAUCGAUCUCAGUGUCAGUCAUGCAGAGCCGGUCACUACUGCAGCACGAGAGGCCUAAGAGCUCCUACUGCGCCUUGCAGUCAGGGUUAUUGGUGUCCCCCUGGUCAGACUGACGACCUAGCUCUACCUUGUCCGCUCGGUCAUCAAUGUCCCCUAGGAAGCCCUGCCCCAGUUCUCUGCCCCUCUGGGACUUACCAGGACAAGCAGAAGCAGGCCAACUGCACAGUCUGUGAAGAGGGUUUUUACUGUGACGAGAGCUUUGGCAUCAAUAAUGUAUCUGUCCUGCAGUCAUGUCCUAAAGGAUAUUACUGCCCUAAAGGAACCCGCUAUGCCACUCAGUUUCCUUGUCCCGUUGGAAGCUACAACCCAAAAGAGGGCAUGGUCCGCCUAAACAGCUGCCUUCUGUGUCCAGUAGGACACUUUUGCCCAUUUGCAGGCUUAGCAGAGCCUGCAGGCUUGUGCAUGCCUGGGUACUGGUGCAGAGAGGGCUCCCACUCAGCCAGUCCUUCUGCUGGAUCCACAGGAUCACUUUGUCCAGUCGGACACUACUGCCCUAAAGGCACCACCAGCCCCUUGCCAUGUCCAUUAGGCACCUUGUCAAACAGCACAGGCCAGAGGAGUGAAGAGGACUGCCAGCCGUGCCCUGGAGGAUUCUACUGUGCUAGCACUGCCCUCUCAGUGCCAACUGGACUCUGCUCUGAAGGAUUUUAUUGCAUUGAGAAAGCAGCAACCCCCAUGCCUACUGAUGGAAACUCAGGAAACAUGUGCCCACAUGGUCAUUAUUGUCCGAAUGGAAGCGCUCAACCUCUGCCAUGUGAUCUGGGGACAUUUAUGUCUGCCACACAGGCCUCUCAGUGCUGGCCCUGCACGGCUGGAUGGUACUGUGUGGAUGGGGCUCGCUUACCAUGUCCACAAGGUUUUUACUGUCCAGAGGGGACGGCUUAUGAGUGGAAAGCUUGUCCACCAGGCACUUACAGCCCAGACUCUGGCCUGAGUGAGCUCUCCCAGUGCAUGGAGUGUGAUGGAGGACACUACUGCUCUUACCAGAAUGCUACAUCUGUCUCUGGACUGUGCUCUGCAGGAUAUUACUGCAUACGUGGAAACACCUCACCGCAGCCACUCACCUUGUCCACAGGAGAUGGUGGACCUUGUCCUGCAGGUCAUUUCUGUCUAGAAGGCACCAGGGACCCCCAGCCUUGUCCAGCGGGGACGUUUAGUAAUAGAACCAAAUUAACUUCAGAGGACGAGUGUGUUCCCUGUUCUCCUGGUCAUUACUGUGACACACCUGGGCUGACUGCUCCCAAAGGGGAAUGUUGGGAGGGUUUCUACUGCAGCCAAGGAGCUUUGCUGCCCAAUUCUUUAAUCAGGGACCACAGAGGAGGGCCAUGUCCUGCAGGUCGCUCAGGCUUACCUUGUUCAGGUUGAAUUGAACCUAACUUUCUUCCCUUCAAAACCCUGACUUCUAAUAUUUAUGAUCUCUGUGACAUACCACAGGUUAUUUUUGUCCUAGAGGGUCCAGUGUGCCUCAGUCCUGUCCACAAGGAUCCAUCAGCAACAAUGAGGGCCAAGCCAGCUGCAGCCCCUGUCCCCGCGGUUACUACUGUCUGGCCUACGGCUCUAUCACUGAAGGCAGAGACUGUCCAGUGGGUCAUUACUGUCCCACAGGCACAUCCCUGAAAAAUCAGUAUCCCUGUCCUGCAGGGACGAUUAAUCCCUAUACAAGAAUGGGCAGUGCAGACGACUGUUUACCAUGCACACCAGGGUUUUUCUGCAAGGCUCCUGGUCAGAGUGCCCCAUUUGGACCAUGUGUAGCAGGACACUUCUGCCUCUCUGGGGCUGUGUCCCCAAAACCUGAGGAUGGUGUGACUGGGGACCAAUGUCCUCCUGGUCAUUACUGUCCUGUGGGCUCCUCAUUUCCACUGCCAUGUCCACCUGGCCACUAUAGCAACAGCAGCAAGAACACAGAGCUCUCUGCCUGUCUGGCCUGCCCUGCUGGAUUUGCUUGCUCCAGCAGGGGGCUCUCUGCUCCUUCUCAUGUCUGCCAUGCUGGCUAUUACUGCCCCCAAGGCCAGAACUCCAGUCAGCCUGUUCAAUACAUGUGUUCCCCUGGCCAUAUGUGCCCCCCAGGCAGUGCUACACAGAUUUCCUGUGCUCCUGGGAGCUAUCAAAGCCUACACACACAGGCUCAGUGGAUGCUGAAACAGAGAUUAUGAGAGGGACCACCACACCUGUCCCGUGUCCUGUGGGGCAUUACUGUCCAGCAGGUACAAAAUCUGGGCGUGAGUUCCCCUGUCCAGCUGGUACUUACAGCAAUGAGUUAGGUAUGUCCAGUGUGGGACAUUGCAUUCCCUGCCCCAGUGGACAGUACUGUGGCUCCUCUGGCCUGUCCACACCCACUGGAGACUGCUCUCCAGGGUACCUGUGUAUCCAGGGUGCCUCUCAAUCACAGCCACCUGGAGAUGCCACAGGAAGUAAAUGCCCAGCAGGCUUCUAUUGCCCAGCAGGCACCAGUCAUAUGCAUUCCUGCCCUCCAGGAACAUUCAGUUCAUUAAAAGGGGCAACAUCUAUUCUGGAUUGCCAGCCAUGUCCACCCGGUCAGUACUGUGCAGACUAUGGGUUGAGUUCACCCUCUGGCCUCUGCAACCCAGGAUAUUACUGCAGUCUCCGAUCAGUGUCCUCUACACCGCAUCAUAACAGAAGUCUUGAGGAUAAGGUGCAUGGGACAAAUGCAGAAGAUAAACUCUUUGAUUUGGAUAAGAUCACUGGGAAUAUCUGUCCUCAGGGGCACUACUGCCCCAUUGGAAGUGUCCAGCCAUUAAAAUGCCCACCAGGAACGUUCCUGGGCCGAUAUGGCGCUGUGUCCGAGUCUGACUGUAACCCAUGUGUGCCUGGAUUUGUCUGUCCCGAUUGGGGCCAGAGCUCUGUAGAGCUCCUCUGCCCAGAGGGUUGGUUCUGCCCUGCAGGCUCUGAGACUGAACGUGAGCCUGGUCAACAGUGCCCACUAGGUCAUUCAUGUCCAUAUGGUAGUACUGAGCCUGCCAUCUGUCCCCCUGGAACCUAUCAGUCUCAACCAGCUCAGCCAUCCUGCCAGACAUGUCCAACAGGUUUUUACUGUCUGGAAGGUGCAUCUUCUCCUACGCCCUGCCCAGCUGGAACAGUGAGUCAAGUUGAAGGAUUGCAGUCUUUGUUGGACUGCCCCCCCUGCCCCCCAGGCUUUUACUGCAAUAUUAGUGCUCUCACCACUCCCUCAGGACCUUGUUCUGCUGGCCACUUCUGUUCAUCUGGAGCCACAGAACCUAGACCAGUCGCUCAGACAUAUGGAGACAUCUGCCCAGCAGGGUAUUACUGCCCUAAACAGAGCAGUGCUCCUUUACCCUGUCCUGUUGGCCACUUCCUGCAAAAUAAGGGAGCCUCUUCUUAUACUGCCUGCUCCACAUGCCCUCCGGGCAGGUACUGCCUUGCAUUUGGCUCCUCCCAACCAUCGGGUUUUUGCUCUCCUGGACACUACUGCACAGGCGGUGCAGAUACUGCAGCACCAAAAGCCAAAGCUGUUCAGUUGACAUGCUUCUGUGACCUCUUGCCAGAGUCCAGACACAGAGAGUAUUAUCUGUGUGCUCAGAGAUACAGUACCACCUGCACAGCUCAUAGCACAGGUAUACUGUAUUAUUGUGCCUGAAACAAACAAAAGCAUGUGUGGUAGUUCAAGUUCAACCAAUUUAUUUGUUUCUUUAUACAGAAAGUGGAAUAAGAAACAGCAUGAGUGAGAACUCCAGGCUUUCCUCAGAUUUAGCACUGACUAAACCUAAUUCAAAAAUAGCUCUGGAAGUCACGCAAGCUCUAUGCAAUGACUUCACAGGAGACAUUUGCCCUGUAGGUUUUUACUGCCCUGUGGGCUCAUCCUUGCCUCAGCUCUGUAAUGCAGGCUCUCACUGUAAUCAGACUGGCCUUCAUGCACCUGUUGGUUUUUGCCCUGAUGGUUUCUACUGCCCUAAAGGCUCCUCAGAUCCUUAUGCUACACCCUGUCCUCCUGGACAUUACUGUCCCAAAGGCACGGUCAUACCCCUGCCCUGCCUGCCAGGCACAUUGAGAAGCUCUGCUGGAGGAGUGAGAAUAGAGGACUGUUUGUUCUGCCCAUCUGGAUAUUUUUGUGACCAGAAAGGUCUAACAGAGCCCAGUGGCCUGUGCUCUGAGGGAUAUUACUGUCCUGUAGGGCAGAACUCAUCUCAGCCUCCAGAGCAUAAAUGUAGAGCAGGUCACUACUGCGAAGAGGGAAGUAUGAGUGGCAGAGCAUGCCCUUUGGGCAGCUACCAGCCCAGGAAAGGACAACAGAAAUGCGAGAUGUGCCCUGCUGGUUUCUCCUGCCCUCAUGAAGGUAUGACACACACAGUCCCAUGCAAGCCGGGGUUUUAUUGUCCAGCAUGGUCUGCUAUUGACAAGCCAUGUCCAGCGGGGACUUAUGGAAACCAGUCUGGGUUAACUGAACUAUCCGAGUGCACUUUGUGUGAUCCAGGCUCAUACUGUGCAGGAGCAGGUAACGUUUCACCCACUGGUCUGUGUAUGGCCGGCUUCUUGUGUUUUGGAGGAGCUUCUCUGCCAUCUCCUGUAGACAAUGUGACAGGAAUGCAAUGUCCACCUGGAUUCUACUGUCUCACUGGGAGCUUUACUGCAACACCCUGCCCCAAAGGCACUUUCAGCGUGCUGCGCGGAUUGACAGAACUAGGGCAGUGCCAAAGUUGCUCCCCAGGGUUCUAUUGUUCAAUAGUAGGCCUGACUGCAGUUAGCGGACCUUGCCUGCCAGGUUUUUACUGCAGUGAGGGAUCGCCUAGCGCAGCCCCUGUGUCUGCUGUGUUUGGUGAUGUUUGUCCUCCAGGUUAUUACUGUGAGAGUGGCAGCGCUGUGCCCACGCCCUGCCCGGUGGGCACUCACAAUUCUGAGAGUGGUGGAAAGGGUGCAGAGGACUGCAUGCCUUGCCCUGAUGGGCUGUUCCAGGAUCUGAAAGGCCAAAGAGAGUGUAAACCUUGUCCUCCUGGAUUCUACUGCCCCGCAUCCACCCAGAAAUCUAAUGUCAGCAGCACUCCAUUGAUCUGUCCAGAGGGCUAUUAUUGUCCUAAUGAAACACGGCUAGGCAGGCCUGUCCCUUGCCCCAGAGGCACAUACAGUAAUACCCGAGGCCUUUCAGCAGAUGAGUGCGUGGUCUGUCCAGUGGGCUAUUUCUGUGGUGCACAUGCACUUGUCCAGCCAUCUGGGCCGUGUGCCCCUGGAUUCCUCUGCUUUUUGCGUGCCACAGUUCCCAACCCCAGUGACAACAAAACAGGAGCUCUUUGUCCACCAGGGGCAUACUGCCAGCUGGGAGUCAGAACUGGUGACUGUUCUCCAGGCUACUACUGUGACUGGGGAUCUAGUAGCCCAGAAGAGAGACUCUGCCCAGCAGGUUUUUAUUGCCUAGCUGGCACAGACAAACCCAUUGCCUGUGGCCCAGGGACAUUCAGCUCAGUCAUGGGGAACAGUGACAGAGAAAACUGUGAACCAUGCCCAGCAGGCUACUUCUGUCAGGAUGAACUCUACUGGAAAUAACAUGUGCCCUCCUGGUCACUACUGCCCCGCUGGCACUAGCUACCCUCUACCAUGCCCUCCUGGAUCAUUCUCAAGCUCUCCAGGGUUAAGCAUUGUAGAGAAGUGCCAGUCCUGCCCACCAGGCUACUUCUGUGAGCAUCCUGCAAUGGUCAGCGCCUUUGAUGCUUUGCUCUGUGAUGCUGGGUAUGUAUGCCUUGGAGGUAGUCGCAGUUCACGCCCAGUUGAUGGACUGGAGGGUUAUAUUUGUCCCAGUGGCUACAGUUGCCCCAUUGGUACCCCAGUGGAAAUGCCAUGUGAGCCUGGCACUUAUAGCAGUGCCCCUGGAGCUGCUCAUUGUCUUUCCUGUCCAUCAGGUACCAUGUGCCCUUCCUCAGCCACUCAAGAGCCCUCUCCAUGUCCUAAAGGACAUUUCUGUCCUUCUGGCACUGCUUUGGCACUGCCAUGCCCUUUAGGCACUCUGGGCCAGUUUACCAGGGCUCAAUCAGAGUCUGCCUGUGUACCCUGUCCACCUGGCCUCUACUGCAACAUACCUGGAUCCUCUCAG